UUGAUCACGGCUCUGAUUGAACGCGGGCGGCACACUUUACACACGCAAGAUCGAGCGGUAGCAGGGAGGAAAGCUUGCUUUCUUCGCUGACGAGCGGCGGACGGGUGAGUAAUGUCUGAGGGAUCUGCNUGAUGGAGGAGAGAUAACUACUGGAAACGGUAGCUAAUACCGCAUAACGUCGCAAGACCAAAGUGGGGGACCUUCGGGCCUCAUGCCAUCAGAUGAACCCAGAUGGGAUUAGCUAGUAGGUGAGGUAAUGGCUCACCUAGGCGACGAUCCCUAGCUGGUCUGAGAGGAUGACCAGCCACACUGGAACUGAGACACGGUCCAGACUCCUACGGGAGGCAGCAGUGGGGAAUAUUGCACAAUGGGCGCAAGCCUGAUGCAGCCAUGCCGCGUGUAUGAAGAAGGCCUUCGGGUUGUAAAGUACUUUCAGUAGGGAGGAAGGUGUACGUGUUAAUAGCACGUGCAAUUGACGUUACCUACAGAAGAAGCACCGGCUAACUCCGUGCCAGCAGCCGCGGUAAUACGGAGGGUGCAAGCGUUAAUCGGAAUUACUGGGCGUAAAGCGCACGCAGGCGGUUUGUUAAGUUGGAUGUGAAAUCCCCGGGCUUAACCUGGGAACUGCAUCCAAGACUGGCAAGCUAGAGUCUCGUAGAGGGAGGUAGAAUUCCAGGUGUAGCGGUGAAAUGCGUAGAGAUCUAAAAAAAUACCGGUGGCGAAGGCGGCCUCCUGGACGAAGACUGACGCUCAGGUGCGAAAGCGUGGGGAGCAAACACCAUAGAUACCCUGGUAGUCCACGCUGUAAACGAU
This 813-nucleotide ribosomal RNA is filed under the name Edwardsiella tarda. RNAcentral describes it as "bacterial SSU rRNA". It matches the Rfam family "Bacterial small subunit ribosomal RNA", at positions 13 to 810 of the family's 1533-position model. Lineage: Bacteria; Pseudomonadati; Pseudomonadota; Gammaproteobacteria; Enterobacterales; Hafniaceae. The record is from RNAcentral.